GGGGUGUUAGCUCAGUUGGUUUAGAGCGCAUGCUUGACAGGCAUGAGGUCAGCAGUUCGAUUCUGCUACGCCCCACCA
RNAcentral lists this transfer RNA (78 nucleotides) under Bacteroidota bacterium. RNAcentral's name for it is "Bacteroidetes bacterium (marine metagenome) tRNA-Val". It matches the Rfam family "tRNA". From Rfam's summary of the family: Transfer RNA (tRNA) molecules are approximately 80 nucleotides in length. Lineage: Bacteria; Pseudomonadati; Bacteroidota. The record is from RNAcentral. RNAcentral also lists the same sequence under 1 other name.